GUGCUCUUGGCCGAGCGGCAGGGGCGCCAGCCUUCCAAGCUGGGCACGCGAGUUCGACUCUCGCAGGGCACU
Molecule: transfer RNA, 72 nt
Filed under: Planctomycetota bacterium
Lineage: Bacteria; Pseudomonadati; Planctomycetota
Description: Planctomycetes bacterium tRNA-Gly
Rfam family: tRNA
About the family: Transfer RNA (tRNA) molecules are approximately 80 nucleotides in length. Their secondary structure includes four short double-helical elements and three loops (D, anti-codon, and T loops). Further hydrogen bonds mediate the characteristic L-shaped molecular structure. tRNAs have two regions of fundamental functional importance: the anti-codon, which is responsible for specific mRNA codon recognition, and the 3' end, to which the tRNAs corresponding amino acid is attached (by aminoacyl-tRNA synthetases). tRNAs cope with the degeneracy of the genetic code in two manners: having more than one tRNA (with a specific anti-codon) for a particular amino acid; and 'wobble' base-pairing, i.e. permitting non-standard base-pairing at the 3rd anti-codon position.
Source: RNAcentral